GGUGAACGCUGGCGGCGUGCUUGACACAUGCAAGUCGAACGGUAUGUGGCAACACAUAGAGUGGCGAACGGGUGAGUAACACGUGGGAACGUACCUUCUGCAGGGGGAUAACUGACCGAAAGGACAGCUAAUACCGCAUAAGACCGAGAGGAGAAAGGUGCAACAGCAUCGGCAGAGGAGCGGCCCGCGGACCAUCAGCUAGUUGGUGGGGUAAGAGCCUACCAAGGCAACGACGGAUAGCCGGCGUGAGAGCGUGGCCGGCCACAAGGACACUGAGAUACGGGUCCUACUCCUACGGGAGGCAGCAGUGCGGAAUUUUAGAUAAUGGAGGCAACUCUGAUCUAGCGACGCCGCGUGCAGGAAGAAGGUCUUCGGAUUGUAAACUGCUGUGGUAAGGGAAAAAUGCCAUGUAGAGUGGAAAGCUACAUGGAGGGAUGGUACUUUACUAGAAAGCCCCGGCUAACUACGUGCCAGCAGCCGCGGUAAUACGUAGGGGGCGAGCGUUACCCGGAAUCACUGGGCGUAAAGGGAGCGUAGGUGGCCUGACAUGUCGACUGUGAAAACCCGGAGCUCAACUCCGGACUUGCAGUUGAAACUGCCAGGCUUGAGGACGGUAGAGGAAGACGGAACUGCCAGUGUAGGGGUAAAAUCCUUAGAUAUUGGCAGGAACGCCGGUGACGAAGGUGGUUUUCUGGGCCGGUUCUGACACUGAUGCUCGAAAGCCAGGGGAGCGAACGGGAUUAGAUACCCCGGUAGUCCUGGCCCUAAACGAUGUUCACUAGGUGUGGGGAGCGGAAAGCUUUCCGUGCUAAAGCUAACGCGAUAAGUGAACCGCCUGGGGAGUACGCCCGCAAGGGUGAAACUCAAAGGAAUUGACGGGGGCCCGCACAAGCGGUGGAGCGUGUGGUUUAAUUCGAUGCUAAGCGAAGACCUUACCAAGGUUUGACAUG
RNAcentral lists this ribosomal RNA (950 nucleotides) under uncultured bacterium. RNAcentral's name for it is "bacterial SSU rRNA". It matches the Rfam family "Bacterial small subunit ribosomal RNA", at positions 28 to 988 of the family's 1533-position model. The record is from RNAcentral.